This 351-nucleotide ribosomal RNA is filed under the name uncultured bacterium. RNAcentral describes it as "partial 16S ribosomal RNA". It matches the Rfam family "Bacterial small subunit ribosomal RNA", at positions 338 to 686 of the family's 1533-position model. The record is from RNAcentral.
CCUACGGGUGGCAGCAGUGAGGAAUAUUGGUCAAUGGGCGCGAGCCUGAACCAGCCAAGUAGCGUGAAGGAUGACUGCCCUACGGGUUGUAAACUUCUUUUGUAAAGGAAUAAAGUGAGGCACGUGUGCCUUGUUGUAUGUACUUUAUGAAUAAGGAUCGGCUAACUCCGUGUCAGCAGCCGCGGUAAUACGGAGGAUCCGAGCGUUAUCCGGAUUUAUUGGGUUUAAAGGGAGCGUAGGUGGGUUGUUAAGUCAGUUGUGAAAGUUUGCGGCUCAACCGCAACAUUGGAAUUGAUACUGGUAGUCUUGAGUAUAGUUGAGGUAAGCGGAAUUCGUUGUGUAGCGGUUGAA